Molecule: ribosomal RNA, 468 nt
Filed under: uncultured bacterium
Lineage: Bacteria
Description: partial 16S ribosomal RNA
Rfam family: Bacterial small subunit ribosomal RNA
Source: RNAcentral
GACGAACGCUGGCGGCGUGCUUAACACAUGCAAGUCGAACGGAAAGGCCCUGCUUUUGUGGGUUUCUCGAGUGGCGAACGGGUGAGUAACACGUGAGUAACCUGCCCUUGACUUUGGGAUAACUUCAGGAAACUGGGGCUCAUACCGGAUAGGAGCUCCUGCUGCAUGGUGGGGGUUGGAAAGUUUCGGCGGUUGGGGAUGGACUCGCGGCUUAUCAGCUUGUUGGUGGGGUAGUGGCUUACCAAGGCUUUGACGGGUAGCCGGCCUGAGAGGGUGACCGGCCACAUUGGGACUGAGAUACGGACCAGACUCCUACGGGAGGCAGCAGUGGGGAAUAUUGCACAAUGGGCGGAAGCCUGAUGCAGAAACGCCGCGUGCGGGAUGACGGCCUUCGGGUUGUAAACCGCUGUCGACUGUGACGAAGCGUGAGUGACGGUAAUGGGUAAAGAAGCAACGGCUAACUACGUG